UUUUAUCAGAGAGUUUGAUCCUGGCUCAGGAUGAACGCUGGCGGCGUGCUUAACACAUGCAAGUCGAACGGGAAUCACUUCAUUGAGACUU
RNAcentral lists this ribosomal RNA (91 nucleotides) under Ruminococcus sp. AF42-9BH. Its description in RNAcentral is "partial 16S ribosomal RNA". It matches the Rfam family "Bacterial small subunit ribosomal RNA", at positions 1 to 90 of the family's 1533-position model. Lineage: Bacteria; Bacillati; Bacillota; Clostridia; Eubacteriales; Oscillospiraceae. The record is from RNAcentral.